Molecule: ribosomal RNA, 119 nt
Filed under: Petromyzon marinus (sea lamprey)
Lineage: Eukaryota; Metazoa; Chordata; Hyperoartia; Petromyzontiformes; Petromyzontidae
Source: RNAcentral
GCCUACGACCAUAUCACCCUGAAUGCGCCCGAUCUCGUCUGAUCUCGGAAGCUAAGCAUGGUCGAGCCUGGUUAGUACUUGGAUGGGAGACUGCCUGGGAAUGCCAGGUGUUGUAGGGU